UACGGAAGGCAGCAGUGGGGAAUAUUGCACAAUGGGCGCAAGCCUGAUGCAGCCAUGCCGCGUGUAUGAAGAAGGCCUUCGGGUUGUAAAGUACUUUCAGUCGUGAGGAAGGUGUUAAGGUUAAUAACCUUAGCAAUUGACGUUAGCGACAGAAGAAGCACCGGCUAACUCCGUGCCAGCAGCCGCGGUAAUACGGAGGGUGCGAGCGUUAAUCGGAAUUACUGGGCGUAAAGGGCACGCAGGCGGUUAAUUAAGUUGGAUGUGAAAUCCCCGGGCUUAACCUGGGAAUGGCAUUCAAGACUGGUUAGCUAGAGUCUUGUAGAGGGGGUAGAAUUCCAUGUGUAGCGGUGAAAUGCGUAGAGAUGUGGAGGAUACCGGUGGCGAAGGCGGCCCCUGGACAAAGACUGACGCUCAUGUGCGAAAGCUGGGGAGCAAAC
RNAcentral lists this ribosomal RNA (437 nucleotides) under uncultured bacterium. RNAcentral's name for it is "bacterial SSU rRNA". It matches the Rfam family "Bacterial small subunit ribosomal RNA", at positions 340 to 773 of the family's 1533-position model. The record is from RNAcentral.